Helianthus annuus (common sunflower) is the source of this 1078-nucleotide long non-coding RNA. RefSeq lists it as uncharacterized. The record is from RefSeq and is a predicted model, not a curated record. The transcript is spliced from 3 exons. Lineage: Eukaryota; Viridiplantae; Streptophyta; Magnoliopsida; Asterales; Asteraceae.
UAAAAAAUGUUCCGCCUCCCCAUGGAAAAAUUCCUGAGUCCACCACUAAGGGGAUGACUGGUCGCUUUAUACUGAAACCAAGGAUCACCAAAAAAAGUAGGAGACCAAUCCAGGAUCGCGGUCGGAUGUCAAGUCAAAAGUGUCCACGUGUACACAAGCUAGGUAUAAAUCAUGAGAAUCCCUUUAGUCAUGACUCCAUGAAGCGAUUGUAAAGCCAAUAGUUGAUGUCAUUGCAGAGCAUCAUCAUAUUUUGUUCAUAGGAGAAUGCGAUGGAUCAAAUGUUUUAAAGAUCGUAUAUCUUAAAAAAUGUACUUUAAUGUGUGAGUUCCUUAUUACAUCCUCUGGCGUCUACAGUUAACUAAAGAUCUGUGCCAGAAGUUCUUCUGGCGUGUCUCAUACCCCACUGGUCUAAAGUGAAUGUCACUCUAAUGAACCCAUGAUAUAACAAAACUAGUAAGCAUCAAAUGCCACGUUCCUUCACGUAUUCACCAUCAGUUUCUUUUGAUACAACUUUAGAAUGUAGACUAUAAAGCCUCCAUAUGUUGCCCCUCUUCUUAGUUACAUAAGAGACAAAUGCAUCACCACCCUAUUUACCAUCGGACAGAUGCAUCACUACUCUAUGUACCACCGUCGAUUCUAAACUUCCUUCUUUUAUGCAGUUAACUGUUGCAAGCUCCAUCACAAAUCUAUUGUUUGGUCGUUUUCUCGCGUUAUGCAUUACCCUCAGGUUUUCUAUUUAUAUUUUGGUAGAGGCGAUGACAAUGGCUGGCAGUGGCCCUGAUUAGAAGAUGAUAGUGGUACAUGAUGGCAGCAGUGGUCAGUGGGAGGUGGUCUGUUUGAAAGGUGAAGGAGGUGCAGGUGUGUGGCCGUGGGGUGGAAGAGAAGAUGGGUUUGUUUGAUUUACUAGGUUGUGAAAUGUGAAGAUCAUAUGUGCAGCAAUGAGGGGUGAAAUGACAUUAAUACCCUAACAUGCAUUGCAUGUGAGGGGUGUUAACGAGAAAAACAAACAUCGUUUGUGUGAAAGGUUGAUCCCUAUGUCAAAAUAUGAAGUUAAAGGUUGUUUUUGGCGAAUUUUAAU